UACGGGGGGGGCAAGCGUUGUUCGGAAUUACUGGGCGUAAAGGGCUCGUAGGCGGCCAACUAAGUCGGAUGUGAAAUCCCCAGGCUUAACCUGGGAACUGCAUCCGAUACUGGAUGGCUUGAAUCCGGGAGAGGGAUGCGGAAUUCCAGGUGUAGCGGUGAAAUGCUUAGAUAUGACAUAGAAUACCAAUUGCGAAGGCAGCUGGCUACGCGAAUAUUGACACUCAGGCACGAAAGCGUGGGGAUCAAACAGG
Molecule: ribosomal RNA, 253 nt
Filed under: uncultured bacterium
Lineage: Bacteria
Description: partial 16S ribosomal RNA
Rfam family: Bacterial small subunit ribosomal RNA
Source: RNAcentral